RNAcentral lists this long non-coding RNA (1756 nucleotides) under Triticum aestivum (bread wheat). RNAcentral describes it as "long non-coding RNA (TAES_LNC025251)". Lineage: Eukaryota; Viridiplantae; Streptophyta; Magnoliopsida; Poales; Poaceae. The record is from RNAcentral.
CCAAACUUGGGAGCGAUGAUACCUUAAUGCUCCAAUUUCCCAUUAACUUGAGAAUCGAGGCAAUCAAAGGUAUUCUCAGGAAUGCAAUUCGGCUCCCGGCGUGAUGCUAUGUCGGUAUGUCCAGCAGCGGCGCAGCGCCUCCGUCCAGUACACGCAGGUUAAAUUGUUUACUAUUUUUUGCAACAACAAGAUGAGCGAUGGUGGUGGCCGAGUGAUGGUGACGGCAUGGAGGUUUCUGCUGUGUUGUAUGGUAUGAAUCCCUCUCCUCCUUGACCUCUGCUUGGUUGCUGCUGCACCAAGAUCCUCUGCUUGUGGGUGUCAUGGUCGUGCAGCUCGGAGAAGCUCGCCAUGCGGUUCAGGGCUCGUACGCGUGCAGUCCAGCGAGCGCCAUGUCUUCCCCUCUGGUCGGUCGACCAUGGCCAUGCAGCUCAGAGAUGCUCGCCAUGCGGUUCGGAGCUCGUGCGCAUGCAGUCCGGCAAGUGCCACCUCUUCCCCUGCAGUCCGUCGACCAUGGCAUGCAACUCAGAGACACUUGCCAUGCGGUGCAGAGCUCGUGCAUGUGUAAUCUAGCUAGUGUCCGUGCAUGUGCUGUCCAGCGAGCAUCCGUGCACAACAGCGCCUCUGCCACAACAUUCAGUAGAGGAUUCCCUAGUUUGGAAAAUGCUAACUUUUGGAUUCUAAGACGAAUUAGGUCCCUUAAUUAUGAUGAUAUGUUGCUAGACCAAUUAGUGUCCAUGCACAGCAGCUUCUAAGACCAAUUUUGAAUUAACUUUUGGAAAAUGGUAAAUUUUGGAUUCUAAGGCAAUUAGUGUCUGUGCAUAUUGCUAGACCAAUUAGGUCCCUUAGUCCAAAAGUUUUGGAUUCCGUGUCUGUUGUUCUCUUGUUCAAUUUACCUUCUAAGACUACAUGUGUCCGUGCAUGGAUUAACUUUUGGAUUCUAACACUAAUUGGUCCGUGCACAACAGCUUCUAACAUUUUUCCUUCUUGUGAUGUUGCACUAGCACUAUGUAUCCCGGGACCAUAUGUAAUAUGUUCAAUACUUUCUAGUCUUUUAUUUUUCAGUAAAAGAUGGAACAUGGUUGUGGGCAUUUGCUCAUUCUUUUUUCUUAUCCCUUGCACAUUUUGUUGAAGAGCACCAAGAUCCUCUGCAUGCACCAAACGACUGACAUGCAGUUCACUGAUUGUGUUCUUUAAAAAAAUUCAAACUGCACUGCCGUCCAUUGUUCUCUUACUAUUCAGUUUAUCAUUUUUUCAGGUGAAAGACGAACAUCAAAGUACAGAAAAACGUGCACUGCAGUCUCUUGUGGCUUUAGUUUACCUUUCUUCAAGUGAAAAAUGCGCAACAUCGGCUGGCCCACAAAUGGAGUUCUGCUGGCUGGUAGUGCAGAUUUUGUGUGUAUGUAUGUGGGUGGCUGUAAAACAAUGAAUGUAUGUAUGUGUCUAUGAGCAUCAUCGGCGUCCAUAGACAAAGGCGCAAUACAAAAUGUGCGCGUGCAGUUUGCUUAGCUCGGUCAUGCAGCAUAUUGUUUUUGUUUUGUGCGGUCUGUUUGUUUGUUAAAAGAAAUCAAAGAAUGUUGGUUGGAGGUAACAUUCUUUUGAUGCAAAAUGUAAUUUUUAAAUGCAGUACACUCGUCCCAUUCAUGCAACUCACUAACAUUGACCAUGUAGUCGAGAUAAAAUUUACUUGACCAUCUGAUGCAGUGUGUUUUCAAGUGUGUUGUGGUUCAGUUAUGCCCGAUGUGAAGCACACUUACCU